AGAGUUUGAUCCUGGCUCAGGACGAACGCUAGCUACAGGCUUAACACAUGCAAGUCGAGGGGCAGCAUGGUCUUAGCUUGCUAAGGCCGAUGGCGACCGGCGCACGGGUGAGUAACGCGUAUCCAACCUGCCUUACACUCUUGGACAGCCUUCUGAAAGGGAGAUUAAUACAAGAUGUUAUCAUGAGUAAGCAUUUUCGCAUGAUUAAAGGUUUACCGGUGUAAGAUGGAGAUGCGUUCCAUUAGAUAGUAGGCGGGGUAACGGCCACCUAGUCUUCGAUGGAUAGGGGUUCUGAGGAGGAAGGUCCCCCACGAUUGGAACUGGAGACAUGGUCCAACUCCUACGGGAGCA
This 351-nucleotide ribosomal RNA is filed under the name uncultured bacterium. RNAcentral describes it as "bacterial SSU rRNA". It matches the Rfam family "Bacterial small subunit ribosomal RNA", at positions 8 to 349 of the family's 1533-position model. The record is from RNAcentral.